CCUACGGGCGGCUGCAGUGGGGAAUUUUGGACAAUGGGGGCAACCCUGAUCCAGCCAUUCCGCGUGAGUGAAGAAGGCCUUCGGGUUGUAAAGCUCUUUCGGCCGGGAAGAAAUCGCACCUCCUAAUACGGGGUGUGGAUGACGGUACCGGAAGAAGAAGCACCGGCUAACUACGUGCCAGCAGCCGCGGUAAUACGUAGGGUGCGAGCGUUAAUCGGAAUUAGUGGGCGUAAAGUGGUAGGACAGAUGUGAAAUCCCCGGGCUUAAACUGGGAACUGCGUUUGUGACUGCGAGACUUGAGUGCGGCAGAGGGGGGUGGAAUUCCACGUGUAGCAGUGAAAUGCGUAGAGAUGUGGAGGAACACCGAUGGCGAAGGCAGCCCCCUGGGUCGACACUGACGCUCAUGCACGAAAGCGUGGGGAGCAAACAGGAUUAGAUACCCGAGUAGUC
RNAcentral lists this ribosomal RNA (450 nucleotides) under uncultured bacterium. Its description in RNAcentral is "partial 16S ribosomal RNA". It matches the Rfam family "Bacterial small subunit ribosomal RNA", at positions 338 to 795 of the family's 1533-position model. The record is from RNAcentral.